AGUUUUUGCUUUUUAUCAGCGACACCAUUGUCAUGGACAAUUAAAAAUCACUAUUCUCCAACUUUUCAUCCUCCACAUCUCGGUUUUAGAGAUUUUUGUCCAAUGCCGCCACCCGCUACUUCAAAUUUAUCAUAUGAACCACCUUGAACUCCUUUCCACCAUUGAUAUAUGCCAAUGCACCACCACUUAAAUUCUUCAAUAUUCUUAUCUGCCCACAUAUUUUUCAUUGUACACCUGCCCAACCACAAACCUUUAUUAACACCCUCAAAAACCACCAUAUCUCCACGGU
This 289-nucleotide long non-coding RNA is filed under the name Nicotiana benthamiana. Its description in RNAcentral is "long non-coding RNA (NBEN_LNC016690)". The record is from RNAcentral. Lineage: Eukaryota; Viridiplantae; Streptophyta; Magnoliopsida; Solanales; Solanaceae.